This 253-nucleotide ribosomal RNA is filed under the name uncultured bacterium. RNAcentral describes it as "partial 16S ribosomal RNA". It matches the Rfam family "Bacterial small subunit ribosomal RNA", at positions 524 to 776 of the family's 1533-position model. The record is from RNAcentral.
UACGUAGGGGGCAAGCGUUGUCCGGAUUUAUUGGGCGUAAAGAGCGUGUAGGCGGCCUGACAGGUCUGCUGUGAAAACUCGAGGCUCAACCUCGAGAUGUCGGCGGAAACCGUCUGGCUAGAGUCCGGAAGAGGAGAGUGGAAUUCCUGGUGUAGCGGUGGAAUGCGCAGAUAUCAGGAGGAACACCGGUGGCGAAGGCGGUUCUCUGGGCAUUACCUGACGCUGAGGAGCGAAAGUGUGGGGAGCGAACAGG